Molecule: ribosomal RNA, 373 nt
Filed under: uncultured organism
Description: bacterial SSU rRNA
Rfam family: Bacterial small subunit ribosomal RNA
Source: RNAcentral
CGUAGGGGGCAAGCGUUGUCCGGAGUUUAUUGGGCGUAAAGAGCGUGUAGGCGGCCAGGUAGGUCUGGUGUGAAAACUCGAGGCUCAACCUCGAGAGGUCAUCGGAAACCAUCUGGCUAGAGUCCGGAAGAGGAGAGUGGAAUUCCCGGUGUAGCGGUGAAAUGCGCAGAUAUCGGGAAGAACACCUAUGGCGAAGGCAGCUCUCUGGGACGGUACUGACGCUGAGACGCGAAAGCGUGGGGAGCGAACAGGAUUAGAUACCCUGGUAGUCCACGCCGUAAACGAUGGGUGCUAGGUGUGGGUGGUGUCGACUCCAUCCGUGCCGCAGCUAACGCAUUAAGCACCCCGCCUGGGGAGUACGGCCGCAAGGCUA